UAACAACUCACUACUUGCAAAAUAUCUGAUUAUCAGUAAAUCAAUGUUUUAAGGACGAAAUAUGACACACUACGACGUUUAAAUCAUCUAUUAUAAAAAUUUUUGCCUCUUAUUUACAACCUCAAUAUAUACACUGCGUUGCUACCGCUGGAAAUCCAAGAUGGCCGCUAUUCACCCCUGAGAAAGCUACCACGAAAAGGUUUUCUACUGUUUCUACUGUGGCCGUACUGACGGGUAAGAACAUCCAUAUGUAUAUACUUAGAUAGAUACACUUAUAAACACUCACAUUAUAAUAUGCAUAUGUGCAACUUGAAAUUUUCUUUUACACUGUGUACUGCAUUUUAGUUGGUUGCUAUUUUAUUUGUUUCGUUACUGUUGAUCUGCACCUUUUUUAAUACAAUGUUCAUUUAAUA
Molecule: long non-coding RNA, 413 nt
Organism: Bactrocera neohumeralis
Lineage: Eukaryota; Metazoa; Arthropoda; Insecta; Diptera; Tephritidae
Exons: 2
Source: RefSeq, a predicted model, not a curated record